This is a non-coding RNA of Leptonychotes weddellii (Weddell seal), 2839 nucleotides long. NCBI's taxonomy places the organism in Eukaryota, Metazoa, Chordata, Mammalia, Carnivora, Phocidae. The record is from RefSeq and is a predicted model, not a curated record.
AGCCUCAAGCCCAAGGCAGAAGACCUAUCUGCAUUUGAGCCCUGAAACUCACCUUGCAGAGCGCCAAGUCCCGAGUGGCCUUCUUUGAAGAGCUCUAGCAGGUGCCCAGCCACCCCAGGAUCUGUCACAUCUGCUGCUUCCCGGCACCAGAGGGAUGGGUCAGACACCGUGGGAGUCAUCGUAGGUGGGCUGGCUGGGAGCUUCCGUGGGAGCUCUGGAACUUUCCCCAGCUGAGUGGAGAGCCCAACCCCCUUCAUGUGCAAUUGCCUUGAACUGUGACCUGCAGAGAGCUCUCUCGUGGGGUUCUAGUUCUUUUUAAAAUUUUUAAAAGAAGUAUUUGUCUUUCCUCAUCUGACGUGGGGUUUCAUACUUCCUUUGUCAAAGGCACCCUGGGGUGUGUGUCUCACUGUCCAGUGCUGACCUUCCCAGCUCAGGGAAGUGGUUGUAGGGAGUGAAGUGCACAGGAGCCCUGGAGACAGGGAGGCUGGCGCCACUGCCCCCGCCCUAUGCUGGGUCCCAGAACAUUCAUCUCCACUGGUGAGGAACCGGCAUGCGAAGAAGUGUGGCCCGCCCAAGCCCAGGCCCGGAGCGGCCUGCCUGCUGGCCUGCCUGCUGCACAUCAUCGCUGAGCUGGCCUGUGGCUCAUGACAGGCCACGCGAUGGGUCUUCAGCCCAGGCGCCCCCGAGGCCGCGCGCUGGCUGCCGGCUGGUGGGGAAUGGGAAAGGCAGCUGUGAAGGGGGAAGACUCUAGGCAGAAGCUGUGAUGACGGGCUGGCUGCCAGCAGAGGGGCAGGGAGGCCAGCAGAGCUGUGUAGGAAUCUGCUCCACACAGAACACUCACUCCCCUUCUGCUGCCUCAGACCAGGGUCCAAGCGGCAGGCGGGAGCUGCGUCUUCCUCACCCCCUCAGCCUUAGUCUUUCCUGCCUGUGGCGGGCUGGGGAACUCCCCGGGCUCUUGUAGUCAGCCCCUGAGCCCCGCCGGGCUCUGUUAGGGCUCUGAGGCCCCUCAGGUACUUCUUCUUGCUGAGGCCUCCGUCUCUGUGGCUGACCUGAAUCCCCUCUCCCUCUGGCCACGUGCCAGCAAGCCCUUCCUAAGCCUUGAUUGUAUUGGGCCUCCUUCUGGUGUUGCCCUUGUACCCCAGCCGGCCCUUUAUUUUAUAUGCCCCCUUGGCCAUGUGGGGUCCCUCGUGCCCCUCCCAGCACAAGCCAGGUGUCCCCUCCCUGUUGGUGCUCUGCCACUCGGGCAGCAGCAGGCCACAGAGCCACCCCCGUGGCACCAGCCGCCUUAGUUUGGGGCUACUUUGUUUGCUCUGUGGUUUGGUGGUGCUUCUGUGACCCACUGGCCAUUCAGAUCCUUCCAACGGGGCUGGUAUACAGAGCAGGAGUUAAGUCUGAACCAGCGAAAAGAGGCUUACUAAGUGAAGACAUGUGAAGGCCUGGAGAUUUCCUGAGAGUGGGGGUGCCUCUGGCUGUCCUGUGUGGUUUUGAGAAACUCAUAAAGAUCCUGCCUUCUCUCCACACUCAGGCCGACCUGACAGUGUCCCAGGCUGGCCACCCUGCUAUUUGGGGCCACCUUGCCCUGAGGAAGGCAGCCCUGUGGGUACCCAAGCCCCUUAGGGCCCCUUAGGGCAUGCAGGGUGGGAUGGCUGUGGCUGAAAGAGCUUCCUUGUGUCUCCCCGUCCCUCAAAUGCCUCUUCCCCCGAGAUGUGGUCCCAGGGAGGCAUUUGUAAUGUAGGGCCUGGCUCUUGUGUUGAGGCUCUGUCUCCCCAGGCUCACCAGCCAUCCCUGAAUUUCCAUGACAAGUUACUCUUCUCCUGACCUGUAAAUUGAAUCUGUAACAGUGGCUGUGGGCACAGGAGCAUGGUAGUGGUUUAUAUAAAUGUUGUCGGGCCUUGUUGUUUUUAUUAUUUAACUGCUGUGUGUGUGUUCCAAGUCCGGGAACUGCCGAGCCAUGUGGCCACAAGGGAGCCAGCUAGCAUCUGAGCUGUGGCAGGAGCACCCUGGGGCCCGAGAGCAGACUGGGGGAGGGGGGCAGCAGAGCCUCGCUCACCCAGGAACACUUCAGCUCUCCUUGGAGGCUGGAGAGGGUGGUGGCCCUCAGAAAGGCCUUGAGCCACAGUGGAAGGAAAAGGAAUGAAAGAGGAGCUCAGUUUUCAGGGACUCGUGCCUGUGGCUCAGGUGACCGUGCUCUUUUCAAGUGAACAUUUUGGGGGCACAGGAGCUUAUUAGGUAAGGAAGCCUCUGUGCGCCCCCUGAGAGCAGGGCCCUAGCCACAGCGAUUUCAUUACGGGCACUUCUGAGGGUUCUCAGGCUGCCCAGCUGGUGCCACCCCGUGCGGCCGCGCUGUUGGCCCUUCGCUGUCGCACACAGACCACCUCGUUCAUCCUGACUGGGGCCCUGCCUCAGCCCCAGCCACACUCUGACCUGUGGCGUCUGCUCAGUUAUCCCUGUACCUGCCAGGCCACGCUAGACAACACCCCGUGGCAUUACGUAACACUUCUUAAGUGACUGUGUUUUGUAAUCUUGGGGACAGGCUUCUCUCUCCCUCUCUUUUCUCUUACAAAUCAGAACAGCAAAUCCAGAGGCUGACAACCAGGGCAGGAACGGAGUGCUGCUCGCUGACAGGGCUGGGGCCUUGCAGCCCCCGGAGGGGCCGCCUCAGUGGGGAGACAGCCCCUCCCGGCUGCCCGGGGGCCAGGGUGGCCCCCGUGGGCUUCCAGGGAAGCUCCAUCCCUUUCCAAGAUGUCAAACCGCAUUUGUUCCAAGGCUAUUUUCUGUUCCGGGAGAUUGUUGUAAUUUAAAUGAUUGUUUUAAUAAAAAUUCUAAGCCGUCAAAAGUA